UUUAAUAAUUGAUACCUCACCUUGAGGCUUAUAUUGUUUUGCAGAAAAACACGUGACCUAUGAAAAACGAGGCUUCGCAUUGCAGGGGAUACAUCGCUGGUUUGUUUUCAGUGUCAGUGGCUGGAUAAAAACAUCCUAAAUACCGGACACUUUGUGGGCUGUUAUAGGUCACAAUUUGGUUUGCGCAUCAUCAGUGUAGUAGAAUUUUUACUAAUGUUUAGCGGAGUAUUUGCUAUUACCAUUAUCAUAAUUAUUAUUAUUACUAUUAUUACCACCAGUAUCCCAAGUGCGAUGUGAGAGGGCCAGACACAGUGAAGAAAAUUGUUUUUAAAUACAAAUCAAUAAAAAUUUCCCCUCCUUCCUCUUGCACAGUACUGCUCAGUAUAUUCCCUCCCAGUCACUGAAUGUCAUCAGAAACUACAUCCUCUCAUUCAUUUUUAUUAUCAGACCUUUAUAAAUGUUUAUGAAACAGAUGAUCCAACAGGGAACAAAGGAAAGACCUGGUAUAUAUGGUACAAGGCUGAUUACAGAAUGAGGUGCAGGUGAGGAGAGCUCAGGUGACUGCGGGGCUAAUGAUAAGCGGGAGCAGGUGUGUGGAUGGGAGGGGCAGACAGGUGAAUGGGAAUAGAGAGGAAAAACUGAGAACUUCAGGUGGGAGAAGUAAUAAUCAGUUUUUAUGAUGCCCCGCUUAUCCCCUCACAAGAUCAUGAGACAAAAAGAUGGGAAUUUAUUAACGAAGAUGACAAGCAAAACAUAUUGUGGCUGGCCGACUAUGCCGAAUGUCUGGGACAACAAAAUCUCACAUUCCUAUCUCAAGAAGCAGAGGAGGAUGCUGUAGGAGUCUACAAACCUACAAAGGAUCUGUCACCACCUCUUCCACCACAUGAUGUCAAAAUUUUGAAGGCUACCACAUGUUUGAGUUUUGAAAAUAUCAUCUCUAAAAAAAUUAAAGGAGAAUUGUUGGGUUUUGUCAGAUUGAUCAUCCAAGCCAGAGGCAGCAUAGUUGUCUAUAUAAGAUGCCUCUGUUGUUGUACAGAACCUGAGAAGAUUCUUGAUAUUGUGGACUUAUGGACUCACUGACUUAUUAACAAAACCCAACACUGAACCAAGACUGGCUGAAAUUCAAGAGACUCUCCUAAAAAAUACAGAUAAAUCUGUCAUUAUCGAUGCUGUUCAUCUCUGGCAACAAUCAAUGUAAAAAAAAAUUGAAAGAUUUUGUACAUGAUUUGAAUGUUAGUCACUAUGAUUUUUCAGUAAAAUGUUUAAUGUUAAAAGAAGAGA
Molecule: long non-coding RNA, 1281 nt
Organism: Xiphias gladius (swordfish)
Lineage: Eukaryota; Metazoa; Chordata; Actinopteri; Istiophoriformes; Xiphiidae
Exons: 2
Source: RefSeq, a predicted model, not a curated record